AUGGGAGAAGAAAAAUGGAGGUUAUUUGUAGAGGAAUACUAUAAAUGGUACACUCAAGUUAAUGUGGUAUCGCGGGAUGAGAUUCUUAAGAAAGCUAAUUGUGAUAUAUGUCUGAAUUGGCAUUUGGCUACAGUGCGCGAUAACAGUCUUCUGCAAAUGGUGUACUGGAAUGGAAGAGAGAACUUGUGUCCAUCAUCUUACUUUACUAAAGGCUGCAAAGUUCCUCGGCGGACGGCUAGCGAUGCUGAAAUAUUCCGGUUCACCCAAGAAGAUGGGUAUUUAGCAGUUUUCCAGCGGACGUUUUAUGUUCACGGGCUACAUAUUCUUGGGGCUCGUUGGUCAUUGAGAGAACUGGCACUUUAUAUUGCGUAUAUUUUCAAACAUUUUCUGCCACGUUUUAUUGAAAGGAUUUACGCCAACUCUCAUGAACAUCAUCUCUUUGCUGAGAUCCUUGAUACAUAUGUAAAGCGGAGGUCUGCUUCCCGGAGGCAUAUUCGAGGAAAACUGUACGAAGUGGCAGCCUAA
RNAcentral lists this ribosomal RNA (525 nucleotides) under Triticum aestivum (bread wheat). RNAcentral's name for it is "partial small subunit ribosomal RNA". The record is from RNAcentral. Lineage: Eukaryota; Viridiplantae; Streptophyta; Magnoliopsida; Poales; Poaceae.